Molecule: ribosomal RNA, 425 nt
Filed under: uncultured bacterium
Lineage: Bacteria
Description: partial 16S ribosomal RNA
Rfam family: Bacterial small subunit ribosomal RNA
Source: RNAcentral
GUGGGGAAUCUUGCGCAAUGGGCGAAAGCCUGACGCAGCCAUGCCGCGUGAAUGAUGAAGGUCUUAGGAUUGUAAAAUUCUUUCACCGGGGACGAUAAUGACGGUACCCGGAGAAGAAGCUCCGGCUAACUUCGUGCCAGCAGCCGCGGUAAUACGAAGGGGGCUAGCGUUGCUCGGAAUUACUGGGCGUAAAGGGCGCGUAGGCGGACAGCUUAGUCAGAGGUGAAAGCCCAGGGCUCAACCUUGGAAUUGCCUUUGAUACUGGCUGUCUUGAGUGUGGGAGAGGUGAGUGGAACUCCGAGUGUAGAGGUGAAAUUCGUAGAUAUUCGCAAGAACACCAGUGGCGAAGGCGGCUCACUGGCCCGAUACUGACGCUGAGGUGCGAAAGCGUGGGGAGCAAACAGGAUUAGAAACCCGUGUAGUCC